AACCAGAGGCCUUGAAACAGACUAAUGACUCAUUGUGAUGGACAGUUGCGAGUCAAGCUGAUGGGACAAAGGGAUAUACUAUAUAACACACUGAAGCCCCUAAUGCCAUCAGGAUGGAUGAAGAGGUGAUGGGGAGGCAGGAGAGAAGGAGAAGCCAAGAUUUUGUUGUUUCAGGGAAAACUCCCCAAGACUGUAAUAGUGGAAGACUAAGGCAUUUCAGCUACUAAAACUGCCAGUACGACUGACCUACCAACCAACCAACCAUGAGAUGCGAUGGCCCCUGAGGAUGUGCACAUCCUGGUAGCACUUACCGGUUAGAGAUGUGUGGCAAG
RNAcentral lists this long non-coding RNA (332 nucleotides) under Cricetulus griseus (Chinese hamster). RNAcentral's name for it is "lncRNA (ENSCGRG00000026614.1)". The record is from RNAcentral. Lineage: Eukaryota; Metazoa; Chordata; Mammalia; Rodentia; Cricetidae.